RNAcentral lists this ribosomal RNA (253 nucleotides) under uncultured prokaryote. Its description in RNAcentral is "partial 16S ribosomal RNA". It matches the Rfam family "Bacterial small subunit ribosomal RNA", at positions 524 to 776 of the family's 1533-position model. The record is from RNAcentral.
UACGUAGGGGGCAAGCGUUGUCCGGAUUUACUGGGCGUAAAGCGCGUGUAGGCGGCCAGGCAGGUCCGUUGUGAAAACUGGAGGCUCAACUUCCAGACGUCGAUGGAAACCGCCCGGCUAGAGUCCGGAAGAGGAGAGUGGAAUUCCUGGUGUAGCGGUGAAAUGCGCAGAUAUCAGGAAGAACACCAAUGGCGAAGGCAGCUCUCUGGGACGGUACUGACGCUGAGACGCGAAAGCGUGGGGAGCGAACAGG